Mus musculus (house mouse) is the source of this 1850-nucleotide long non-coding RNA. RefSeq annotates it as long noncoding RNA upstream of leptin. NCBI's taxonomy places the organism in Eukaryota, Metazoa, Chordata, Mammalia, Rodentia, Muridae. The record is from RefSeq and is a predicted model, not a curated record. The transcript has 2 exons.
GUAUGUGUGUGUGUGUAUGUGUGUGUGUAUGUGUGUGUGUAUGUGUGUAUGUGUGUGUGUGUGUGUCUGUAGUUUGUAAUAAAAACAAGUGGAAAAAAGGUUUGGUAAGGGCCAAGCUUCCACAAUAUCUUUUUAAACAAUCUAUCAAGUCCAGGAAAGAGAGCCACCCACUCUCAGACCGUGGGUCCUCUCCUCCCUUCUAUUUGUUGUGAGAGGAAGAUGUUACCCUGUAAUUCCAUAGUCCCAGAUCCCCUACCCCUACGAAGCCCCAAAUAUUUCUCUAAGCUACAUCAACCCAGAAAACAAGGAAAGAGGUGCAUUCUCCGAGGGUGGGGCCACUCCCUGUGCUGAUCUAGGGUAAAGGGCUGGCUUUUGGCCCCAAGCCCAAGAGUCCUCUUUGCAUGCCAAAGACUGCUCCUGCGCUGAGCCUGUGAGGAUGGAUAACUGCCAGGGUCUGGGCUGGGCACUGACAGUGUUGAGCCUAGCUCUUGGCUCCCGAGCCCACGCCUCCGCCUCAGGGCCAGACAGAGCCCUGGUUUGGAACUCCUUUCCCCACACCCCCUUGAAGCCCUGAGAUAUCAGCGCUUCUUAACUGCACUUGGGAAUGGGGAGGAGUGGUUAAAGGGACCACAACCAAAUUGCCUCUCUCAGAGGGAAGACAUUUUCAAGAGGCAGAGAGUUCAAGUGAAUGAAGGAGUUUCACAGUUGAGUUAAUGUGAAGAAGACGUCAUCCCAGAGGGUCUUGUGAAUGGUUUGUGAAUAUUGCCAAUAACAUCUGUUUCCUCCUUAACACCUUAGGGGGUUUGUUUAGAGGGAUCCUUUGGCCUUGAUUGAAAAGAUGAAGCCUGAGAACCUUCGCUUCCCUGGGCCACAGACCCUCCUCACGCCCGAAUAGUCUACACCCUGGGUGACAGAUGACUUAGUCCAGUCUGGAGGGCAGGGGGCCUACCUCUGUGCCCAGAGCUCCCUUCAAGGACCUCACCCUCAGAGUCCCACCCACCAGCCAAUGAGGACUCGGGGAAGUGAGGUCACUGCAUCCUGAUUCCCGGCCCAACAAGGGAGACUAAGACUUGGAGGGGGUAGUAACUAGCAGAUGCCACCACCGAUGUUGGUAAAGAAGUAUCGAAGGGCAAAUGAGUCAGCAGUAGGUUUAAGCAAUGAACAGUUGCACCACGGGGUGUUUCUCAAAUUCUUGUCUACUUUUAGAAAGUACGCAAUGCCAUUCAGUGGGCACCGUGAUUCUGAAAUAGCUGCGAAAAUGUUAAAAAUGCUGUGGGCAAAGAUGUGCCCUCAUUGACCUCUUUCUGAAAACAAUAGUCCACAAUUGUGUGGCGCGCCCUUCAGCAGCCUGGCUGCUCCCUCUGAUCCUUGUUGGUGACAUGAAGGGAAUGCAUGAAACUCUCUCUCUGGAGGCUCCUUCCAGCCUCGAAUUCUGAUACCUGACACUAGGCCCACAUUCCUGAUACUCCGGCUGCAUCUCUACAGGACCAAGACCACCAAGCCAAUCGGGCUACAAGGAAGUGAGUCCAAGAACCAAGAAGGCAAAGUCUCCUUUAGAGGUGUUGGAAGGGGUUGAAAAGGGUCCUUAGACAUCAGAGAUCAAGGCUAGAGAGCAGUUGUAGACAGAGAAUUCUGAAAAAAAAAAUGACACACACCUCAGGAAGUUGAAAGAUUCAGAGUCGAUGGACUCUACCUGGCUGAAGAAGAACACAAUAGGACUCGGAGAUCCUGACUGACACUCACCUGUGUGUCUGUGUUUCCUUCAGUCUGCAUAUCCUAUUUUGAAUUGAUAUUUGAGUUUAAUAUUCUUUAUUCUUAGUUGCUUUAAUAAAAAGUGCUGUUUCCAUUUA